This 334-nucleotide long non-coding RNA is filed under the name Lathyrus oleraceus (garden pea). Its description in RNAcentral is "Pisum sativum (pea) long non-coding RNA (PSAT_LNC013477)". Lineage: Eukaryota; Viridiplantae; Streptophyta; Magnoliopsida; Fabales; Fabaceae. The record is from RNAcentral.
GGAAUUAUCACAAGAAAUUGGAGAUCGGGGUUCAAAUGGAGAAAGGGAAAUGUGGAGACAUUUUCUGGAGACGGGGUUCAAAUGGAGAAAGGGAGAUGUUGCGGCAUUUUCUGGAGAACGGGGUUCACAAUGGAGAUCGCAAGUUAUCGUCAGGCGACUGGGGUUCAAACUGGAGAAUGGGGUUCAUUAUUGUGGCAAACAGGAGAAUGGGGUUCGAAUGCGGUGAUCGGGGAUCAUUUGUGAAAAGAAAAAUUUUGGGGUUCAAGAAAAUGAAAAAAGCAAAGAAGAGAAAAUUUCGGGGUUCAAGAAAAGAAACAGAAAAAAAAGAAGAAAU